RNAcentral lists this ribosomal RNA (475 nucleotides) under uncultured organism. RNAcentral describes it as "partial 16S ribosomal RNA". It matches the Rfam family "Bacterial small subunit ribosomal RNA", at positions 333 to 799 of the family's 1533-position model. The record is from RNAcentral.
ACACUCCUGCGGGAGGCAGCAGUGGGGAAUUUUGGACAAUGGGCGAAAGCCUGAUCCAGCAAUGCCGCGUGAGUGAAGAAGGCCUUCGGGUUGUAAAGCUCUUUUGUCAGGGAAGAAACGGUGAGAGCUAAUAUCUUUUGCUAAUGACGGUACCUGAAGAAUAAGCACCGGCUAACUACGUGCCAGCAGCCGCGGUAAUACGUAGGGUGCAAGCGUUAAUCGGAAUUACUGGGCGUAAAGCGUGCGCAGGCGGUUUUGUAAGUCUGAUGUGAAAUCCCCGGGCUCAACCUGGGAAUUGCAUUGGAGACUGCAAGGCUAGAAUCUGGCAGAGGAGGGUAGAAUUCCACGUGUAGCAGUGAAAUGCGUAGAUAUGUGGAGGAACACCGAUGGCGAAGGCAGCCCCCUGGGUCAAGAUUGACGCUCAUGCACGAAAGCGUGGGGAGCAAACAGGAUUAGAAACCCCGGUAGUCCCAUG